This 74-nucleotide transfer RNA is filed under the name Otolemur garnettii (small-eared galago). It matches the Rfam family "tRNA". From Rfam's summary of the family: Transfer RNA (tRNA) molecules are approximately 80 nucleotides in length. Their secondary structure includes four short double-helical elements and three loops (D, anti-codon, and T loops). Lineage: Eukaryota; Metazoa; Chordata; Mammalia; Primates; Galagidae. The record is from Rfam by way of RNAcentral.
GGUCCUGUGGCUCAAAGGAGUAGGGUGCUGGCCUCAUGUACCAGAGGUGGCAGGUUCAAUCCCGCCCCCCACCA